Molecule: ribosomal RNA, 443 nt
Filed under: uncultured bacterium
Lineage: Bacteria
Description: partial 16S ribosomal RNA
Rfam family: Bacterial small subunit ribosomal RNA
Source: RNAcentral
CCUACGGGAGGCAGCAGUGGGGAAUAUUGGGCAAUGGGCGCAAGCCUGACCCAGCAACGCCGCGUGAAGGAAGAAGGCUUUCGGGUUGUAAACUUCUUUUCUGAGGGACGAAGAAAGUGACGGUACCUCAGGAAUAAGCCACGGCUAACUACGUGCCAGCAGCCGCGGUAAUACGGAGGUGGCAAGCGUUAUCCGGAUUUAUUGGGUGUAAGGGGCGUGUAGGCGGGAAAGUAAGUCAGAUGUGAAAUCUCAGGGCUCAACGCUGGGCCUGCAUUUGAAACUGUUUUUCUUGAGUGCUGGAGAGGCAAGCGGAAUGCCGGGUGUAGCGGUGAAAUGCGUAGAUAUACGGAGGAACACCAGUGGCGAAGGCGGAUUGCUGGACAGUAACUGACGCUGAGGCGCGAAAGCGUGGGGAGCAAACAGGAUUAGAUACCCGAGUAGUC